AGCAAACUCGACUCACGAGGGUGUAUUUAUUAGAUCGCAAACAAGUUUAGGGUAGUGUCCUCACAGACGGGUAACGGGGAAUUAGGGUUCGACUCCGGAGAGGGGGCUACCACAUCCAAGGAAGGCAGCAGGCGCGCAAAUUACCCAAUCCUGACACAGGAGGUAGGACAACAAAUACCGGUACAGGGCUUUUUGGGUCUUGUAAUUGGAAUGAGUACAACUAAACCCAUUAAAGCAUACAUUAAAUGCGUUAAGCCCGCAGUUGAAAUUGGGCUUGGCAGCGGUCUGCCUCACGCUAGUACUGGUAUGGCCGGGCCUUUCUCCUGGAGAACUCAUGCUCUUUAUUGAGUGUGUUAGGGAACCAGGACUUUUACUUUGGAAAAUUAGAGUGUUCAAAGCAGGCUCAUUCGCCUUAGCAUGGAAUAAUUGGUUUCAAGGCUGCGUAAUGAUUAAUGAAAGCAUUUGCCAAGGAUGUUUUCAGAAAGGGGAU
Molecule: ribosomal RNA, 490 nt
Filed under: Rickia passalina
Lineage: Eukaryota; Fungi; Ascomycota; Laboulbeniomycetes; Laboulbeniales; Laboulbeniaceae
Description: partial 18S ribosomal RNA
Rfam family: Eukaryotic small subunit ribosomal RNA
Source: RNAcentral